CCUACGGGAGGCAGCAGUGAGGAAUAUUGGUCAAUGGACGGGAGUCUGAACCAGCCAAGCCGCGUGCGGGAGGAAGGCACAGAGAAUUGUAAACUGCUUUUGUACGAGGAUAAACACCGGGACGUGUACCCGGAUGAGAGUAUCGUACGAAAAAGGAUCGGCUAACUCCGUGCCAGCAGCCGCGGUAAUACGGAGGAUCCGAGCGUUAUCCGGAUUUAUUGGGUUUAAAGGGUGCGUAGGCGGUUUGAUAAGUUAGAGGUGAAAUGCCGGGGCUCAACCCCGACACUGCCUUUAAAACUGUCGGUCUAGAGUAUAGUAGAGGUAGGCGGAAUGCACGGUGUAGCGGUGAAAUGCAUAGAGAUCAUACAGAACACCGAUUGCGAAGGCAGCAUACCAACUCCUCUCUGACGCUGAGGCACGAAAGCGUGGGUAGCAAACAGGAUUAGAUACCCCGGUAGUC
This 460-nucleotide ribosomal RNA is filed under the name uncultured bacterium. RNAcentral describes it as "partial 16S ribosomal RNA". It matches the Rfam family "Bacterial small subunit ribosomal RNA", at positions 338 to 795 of the family's 1533-position model. The record is from RNAcentral.